UAGAGUUACAGGGUGUAGUUACGGGUGUAGAGUUACGGGUGUAGAGUUACGGGUGUAGAGUUACAGGUGUAGAGUUACGGGUGUAGAUUUACGGGGUGUAGAGUUACAGGUGUAGAGUUACGGGUGUAGAGCGCGCUGCUUGCAGAUAGAAAUAGGAAGGAAAGAAAAAAACAUGGAAAGAAUGAAAAAGUUAAAUAGGAAAAAAGAGAGAAAGAAAUUAAGGAUAAUAUUAAAGAGAGUUUGGUCUCUGCUGUGUGUCUGUGUGUGUGUGUGUGUGUGUGUGUGUCUGUGUGUGUGUGUGUGUGUGUGUGUGUGUGUGUGUGUGUUCUGAGUCAGUGUCCAUGCUGUUCUAAUCAUCUGUUAUUGUCCCAGAUCCAGAAUAAGACUAAAA
Molecule: long non-coding RNA, 391 nt
Organism: Ictalurus punctatus (channel catfish)
Lineage: Eukaryota; Metazoa; Chordata; Actinopteri; Siluriformes; Ictaluridae
Source: Ensembl